AGAGCAUCUUAUCUUCUCUCCUGCUUGUCUCAUGCAUGUGAGAGCAUCUAUCUCAUCUUCUGUCGUGAUAAAUCUUCCCUAUAAAUAGGGCAAGUGUUAUGCAAAUACUCAUAUCAGUCAAGUUCAGAGUAAGCUCGAGGUCCAUUUAGCUGGGUCUUAUUGAAGGCAUUGUUUUUAGGUGAACUCGGACUUUCUCCAGGGUGAAGAUCCAAGAUCUUCGAUCGAGCAACGACAACGCUUAUGCAUUGUUUCUUUCUUGGGGGCGUUGCUUUUGGAGAACCUCAUUUGUAUUUCGGGUGUUGUCUUCGGUGGUUGGUAGAGUGCUACUGAUGCUAGUGAUUCAUCACCGUGGCAGGGUCUUUUUUUCUGUUCCUUUUAUUUUCCUUUUUGGCUGUGUGUAUUCUUGAUGCCUUUGAACAUCUUGUUGGUAUAGAGGCCGGGUGUAAUUGGUAUCUUCAUGAUAUUAAUAUGUUCCUUUUGUCAAAAAAAUUAAGAUAGGAAGUAAGAAUUAUAUACAAA
Long non-coding RNA from Aegilops tauschii subsp. strangulata, 519 nucleotides. RefSeq lists it as uncharacterized. Lineage: Eukaryota; Viridiplantae; Streptophyta; Magnoliopsida; Poales; Poaceae. The record is from RefSeq and is a predicted model, not a curated record.